Molecule: ribosomal RNA, 221 nt
Filed under: uncultured bacterium
Lineage: Bacteria
Description: partial 16S ribosomal RNA
Rfam family: Bacterial small subunit ribosomal RNA
Source: RNAcentral
CGACGUGAGGAACCUGCCUUGAAGAGGGGGGAAACAGUUGGAAACGACUGCUAAUACCGCAUGACGCAUAGAGGUCGCAUGAUCUUUAUGCCAAAGAUUUAUCGCUUCAAGAUGGCCUCGCGUCUGAUUAGCUAGUUGGCGGGGUAACGGCCCACCAAGGCGACGAUCAGUAGCCGGACUGAGAGGUUGAACGGCCACAUUGGGACUGAGAUACGGCCCAG